AUGGAAAGGGAAAAGCAUUAUGGUAUGAAAUAGAAUUAUAUAUAGCAUCAUCAAUUUGUAUUCUAAAGUUUAUAGUGCGAUAUUGUGUUAUUAUUAGAAAUCUGAAAUGACAUUGUUUUUCUUGAGGGAUAAUACUUAGGGUGCACCUCUUUAUGCACUUCGUUUUGAUUAAUGAAUCUUCACUAAAUUAUCGUUUAAAAAUCUCAAUUGAAACUGUUCAUUCUCU
RNAcentral lists this long non-coding RNA (226 nucleotides) under Prunus persica (peach). Its description in RNAcentral is "long non-coding RNA (PPER_LNC001807)". The record is from RNAcentral. Lineage: Eukaryota; Viridiplantae; Streptophyta; Magnoliopsida; Rosales; Rosaceae.